UACGGGGGGGGGCAAGCGUUGUUCGGAAUUACUGGGCGUAAAGGGCUCGUAGGCGGCCAACUAAGUCAGACGUGAAAUCCCUCGGCUUAACCGGGGAACUGCAUCUGAUACUGGAUGGCUUGAGUUCGGGAGAGGGAUGCGGAAUUCCAGGUGUAGCGGUGAAAUGCGUAGAUAUCUGGAGGAACACCGGUGGCGAAGGCGGCAUCCUGGACCGACACUGACGCUGAGGAGCGAAAGUGUGGGGAGCGAACAGG
Molecule: ribosomal RNA, 254 nt
Filed under: uncultured bacterium
Lineage: Bacteria
Description: partial 16S ribosomal RNA
Rfam family: Bacterial small subunit ribosomal RNA
Source: RNAcentral